UUGCUAUCUGCGAUAUGGAAGAUUCGAACCUGCCGCAGGUUCGGGUCUCACGUAGUGAGACAACAGAGCCGCUUGCGGCGACGGCCCGAAGGGCGAGCAAAGCGAGUCAUCCUGCACGACCCACCA
RNAcentral lists this small RNA (126 nucleotides) under Salmonella enterica subsp. enterica serovar Typhimurium. Its description in RNAcentral is "RtT sRNA". It matches the Rfam family "RtT RNA". From Rfam's summary of the family: This family represents a bacterial cis-regulatory element known as RtT RNA. The exact function of RtT is unknown although it is thought that it may be involved in changing the cellular response in relation to amino acid starvation. The record is from RNAcentral. Lineage: Bacteria; Pseudomonadati; Pseudomonadota; Gammaproteobacteria; Enterobacterales; Enterobacteriaceae.